RNAcentral lists this ribosomal RNA (513 nucleotides) under uncultured bacterium. RNAcentral's name for it is "bacterial SSU rRNA". It matches the Rfam family "Bacterial small subunit ribosomal RNA", at positions 15 to 518 of the family's 1533-position model. The record is from RNAcentral.
GAUUCUGGCUCAGGAUGAACGCUAGCUACAGGCUUAACACAUGCAAGUCGAGGGGCAGCGAGAAGGAAGCUUGCUUCUUGUCGGCGACCGGCGCACGGGUGAGUAACGCGUAUCCAACCUUCCCCUUAGUAGGGCAUAGCCCGUAGAAAUGCGGAUUAAUACCCUAUGUUGUUCAAUGCGGACAUCUAAGUUGAACCAAAGGUUUACCGCUAAGGGAUGGGGAUGCGUCCGAUUAGGCAGCAGGCGGGGUAACGGCCCACCUGGCCGACGAUCGGUAGGGGUUCUGAGAGGAAGGUCCCCCACAUUGGAACUGAGACACGGUCCAAACUCCUACGGGAGGCAGCAGUGAGGAAUAUUGGUCAAUGGGCGCGAGCCUGAACCAGCCAAGUAGCGUGCAAGGACGACGGCCCUAUGGGUUGUAAACUGCUUUUAUGCGGGGAUAAAGUGCGGCACGUGUGCCGUUUUGUAGGUACCGCAUGAAUAAGGACCGGCUAAUUCCGUGCCAGCAGCAGC